RNAcentral lists this long non-coding RNA (455 nucleotides) under Homo sapiens (human). RNAcentral describes it as "HSALNT0357042". The record is from RNAcentral. Lineage: Eukaryota; Metazoa; Chordata; Mammalia; Primates; Hominidae.
AGUCUCGGGCCCGCUUAACUGCUGAAAGAGUAGGAAGGGGUCCGUUUCAUUAGCGCGUUCAACCAAAGAGCGCUGUUAGGUUUCCUGCACCACAAGGUUCCUUUCACUUAAAAAAAUUUUUUUUUAUAUUACACCAUCUUUAUUUGUACCUUACCGUCUAAGGCUAUCAAUCAAACUUCAGUAAGAACAGUUUCAGCAUCAACUAACGAACAGUAGCCAAACCAGAGAGCAGUCAAAAGUGUUUUAAAGGGAGCAGCAUCAGCUGAUGUUCUGCCAAGUCUCUGGGUGUUCAGGACCAUGGUCCCCCGGCACUUCCAGGCCCCUGUGGGCUGCAGGUGGAUCCCCAGGAGCCAAAGGGCCGCUCAGGAAAGGGUGGAACUUGGCCUCGCAAUCAGCUGGCUUCUGCCUAUUAUGGUCAUCUUCUUUCCAGAGGUCUUGCUAUCUCAGUGGACGUG